UUUCUGCCCUAUCAACUUUCGAUGGUAGGAUAGUGGCCUACCAUGGUGGCAACGGGUAACGGGGAAUUAGGGUUCGAUUCCGGAGAGGGAGCCUGAGAAACGGCUACCACAUCCAAGGAAGGCAGCAGGCGCGCAAAUUACCCAAUCCCGACACGGGGAGGUAGUGACAAUAAAUACUGAUACGGGGCUCUUUUGGGUCUCGUAAUUGGAAUGAGUACAAUCUAAAUCCCUAACGA
This 236-nucleotide ribosomal RNA is filed under the name uncultured eukaryote. RNAcentral's name for it is "partial 18S ribosomal RNA". It matches the Rfam family "Eukaryotic small subunit ribosomal RNA", at positions 304 to 540 of the family's 1831-position model. The record is from RNAcentral.